CCCUGGACGAAGACUGACGCUCAGGUGCGAAAGCGUGGUGAGCAAACAGGAUUAGAUACCCUGGUAGUCCACGCUGUAAACGAUGUCGAUUUGGAGGUUGUGCCCUUGAGGCGUGGCUUCCGGAGCUAACGCGUUAAAUCGACCGCCUGGGGAGUACGGCCGCAAGGUUAAAACUCAAAUGAAUUGACGGGGGCCCGCACAAGCGGUGGAGCAUGUGGUUUAAUUCGAUGCAACGCGAAGAACCUUACCUACUCUUGACAUCCAGAGAACUUUCCAGAGAUGGAUUGGUGCCUUCGGGAACUCUGAGACAGGUGCUGCAUGGCUGUCGUCAGCUCGUGUUGUGAAAUGUUGGGUUAAGUCCCGCAACGAGCGCAACCCUUAUCCUUUGUUGCCAGCGGUUCGGCCGGGAACUCAAAGGAGACUGCCAGUGAUAAACUGGAGGAAGGUGGGGAUGACGUCAAGUCAUCAUGGCCCUUACGAGUAGGGCUACACACGUGCUACAAUGGCAUAUACAAAGAGAAGCGACCUCGCGAGAGCAAGCGGACCUCAUAAAGUAUGUCGUAGUCCGGAUUGGAGUCUGCAACUCGACUCCAUGAAGUCGGAAUCGCUAGUAAUCGUAGAUCAGAAUGCUACGGUGAAUACGUUCCCGGGCCUUGUACACACCGCCCGUCACACCAUGGGAGUGGGUUGCAAAAGAAGUAGGUAGCUUAACCUUCGGGAGGCGCC
RNAcentral lists this ribosomal RNA (726 nucleotides) under Serratia marcescens. Its description in RNAcentral is "bacterial SSU rRNA". It matches the Rfam family "Bacterial small subunit ribosomal RNA", at positions 727 to 1454 of the family's 1533-position model. The record is from RNAcentral. Lineage: Bacteria; Pseudomonadati; Pseudomonadota; Gammaproteobacteria; Enterobacterales; Yersiniaceae.